UGUUAAAUUACAGCUGUGAAACGCACA
This 27-nucleotide non-coding RNA is filed under the name Rattus norvegicus (Norway rat). Lineage: Eukaryota; Metazoa; Chordata; Mammalia; Rodentia; Muridae. The record is from RNAcentral.